Molecule: transfer RNA, 54 nt
Filed under: Thauera sp.
Lineage: Bacteria; Pseudomonadati; Pseudomonadota; Betaproteobacteria; Rhodocyclales; Zoogloeaceae
Description: tRNA-Ser
Rfam family: tRNA
About the family: Transfer RNA (tRNA) molecules are approximately 80 nucleotides in length. Their secondary structure includes four short double-helical elements and three loops (D, anti-codon, and T loops).
Source: RNAcentral
GGCAUCGGAUUUUGAUUCCGACAUUCGAGGGUUCGAAUCCUUCCUCCCCAGCCA